This 74-nucleotide transfer RNA is filed under the name Candidatus Woesearchaeota archaeon. Its description in RNAcentral is "tRNA-Arg". It matches the Rfam family "tRNA". Rfam says of the family: Transfer RNA (tRNA) molecules are approximately 80 nucleotides in length. The record is from RNAcentral. RNAcentral also lists the same sequence under 1 other name. Lineage: Archaea; Nanobdellati; Candidatus Woesearchaeota.
GGGCCUGUAGUUUAACCUGGAUAGAACAGACGGCUUCGGACCGUCGGAUCAGGGUUCGAAUCCCUGCAGGCCCA